AUGCUCUCCUUGGCAGCACAUAUACUAAAAUUGGGAUGCUACGGAGAAGAUUAGCAUGGCCCGUGCGCAAGGAUGACACACAAACUCAUGAAGCGUUCAAUAUCUAU
This is a non-coding RNA of Myotis brandtii (Brandt's bat), 107 nucleotides long. The record is from Rfam. NCBI's taxonomy places the organism in Eukaryota, Metazoa, Chordata, Mammalia, Chiroptera, Vespertilionidae.